Molecule: ribosomal RNA, 253 nt
Filed under: uncultured bacterium
Lineage: Bacteria
Description: partial 16S ribosomal RNA
Rfam family: Bacterial small subunit ribosomal RNA
Source: RNAcentral
UACAGAGGUCUCGAGCGUUAUGCGGAAUCACUGGGCUUAAAGCGUGUGUAGGCGGAUCGGUAAGUACCUUGUGAAAUCCCACAGCUUAACUGUGGAACUGCUUGGUAUACUGCCAGUCUUGAGCCAGCUAGGGGCUACCGGAACAAAUGGUGGAGCGGUGAAAUGCGUAGAUAUCAUUUGGAACGCCAAUGGUGAAAACAGGUAGCUGGGGCUGUGCUGACACUGAGACACGAAAGCCAGGGGAGCGAACGGG